UGGCCAGACUCCUACGGGAGGCAGCAGUGGGGAAUAUUGCACAAUGGGGGAAACCCUGAUGCAGCGACGCCGCGUGAGUGAAGAAGUAUUUCGGUAUGUAAAGCUCUAUCAGCAGGGAAGAAGUUGACGGUACCUGAGUAAGAAGCCCCGGCUAACUACGUGCCAGCAGCCGCGGUAAUACGUAGGGGGCAAGCGUUAUCCGGAUUUACUGGGUGUAAAGGGAGCGUAGACGGCAGUGCAAGUCUGAAGUGAAAGCCCCGGGCUCAACCCCGCGGACUGCUUUUGAAACUGUCAGGCUGGAGUACAGGGGAGGUAAGCGGAAUUCCUAGUGUAGCGGUGAAAUGCGUAGAUAUUAGGAGGAACACCAGUGGCGAAGGCGGCUUACUGGACUGUAACUGACACUGAGGCACGAAAGCGUGGGGAGCAAACAGGAUUAGAUACCCGAGUA
This 448-nucleotide ribosomal RNA is filed under the name uncultured bacterium. Its description in RNAcentral is "bacterial SSU rRNA". It matches the Rfam family "Bacterial small subunit ribosomal RNA", at positions 328 to 792 of the family's 1533-position model. The record is from RNAcentral.